Molecule: ribosomal RNA, 491 nt
Filed under: uncultured bacterium
Lineage: Bacteria
Description: partial 16S ribosomal RNA
Rfam family: Bacterial small subunit ribosomal RNA
Source: RNAcentral
GUGAACGCUGGCGGUAGGCCUAACACAUGCAAGUCGAACGGCAGCACAGUAAGAGCUUGCUCUUACGGGUGGCGAGUGGCGGACGGGUGAGGAAUACAUCGGAAUCUACUUUUUCGUGGGGGAUAACGUAGGGAAACUUACGCUAAUACCGCAUACGACCUACGGGUGAAAGCAGGGGAUCUUCGGACCUUGCGCGAUCGAAUGAGCCGAUGUCGGAUUAGCUAGUUGGCGGGGUAAAGGCCCACCAAGGCGACGAUCCGUAGCUGGUCUGAGAGGAUGAUCAGCCACACUGGAACUGAGACACGGUCCAGACUCCUACGGGAGGCAGCAGUGGGGAAUAUUGGACAAUGGGCGCAAGCCUGAUCCAGCCAUACUGCGUGGGUGAAGAAGGCCUUCGGGUUGUAAAGCCCUUUUGUUGGGAAAGAAAAGCAGCAGGUUAAUACCCCGCUGUUCUGACGGUACCCAAAGAAUAAGCACCGGCUAACUUCGUG